GGGCAGUAGUUUCACAACUUUGGACUUGCAUCAGAUUCAUCAGCAGAGCUUGUUAAAACAGAUAGCUGGGCUCCAGCCCCAGAGUUUUUCUUAUUCAUUGGGUUUGGGGUCUGGCCUGAGAAUUUCAUUUCUUUUUUUUUUUUUUUUUUUUCUUGAGACAGAGUCUCGCUCUGUCGCCCAGGUUGGAGUGCAGUGGCACAAUCUCGGCUCACUGCAAACUCCGCCUCCUGGGUUCGCGCCAUUCUCCUGCCUUAGCCUCCUGAGUAGCUGGGACUACAGGCACCCGCCACCAUGCCUGGCUAAUUUUUUGUAUUUUUAGUAGAGACGGGGUUUCACCGUGUUAGCCAGGAUGGUCUCGAUCUCCUGACCUUGUGAUUCGCCUGCCUUGGCCUCCCAAAGUGCUGGGAUUACAGGCAUGAACCACCGCGUCCGGCCGAGAAUUUCAUUUCUAACAAGUUCCCAAAGAUGCUGGUGCUCCUGGUCUGGGGGCCACCCUUUGGGAACCACUUUCUUAGGGAAUAUUUGUGGUAUAGAAGUGUAGUUAACAGUGAUCUUUUUCCUUCAGGGGGUGAAUCUCUACAUUAAGAACUUGGAUGACACUAUUGAUGAUGAGAAAUUAAGGAAAGAAUUUUCUCCUUUUGGAUCAAUUACCAGUGCUAAGGUAAUGCUGGAGGAUGGAAGAAGCAAAGGGUUUGGCUUCGUCUGCUUCUCAUCUCCUGAAGAAGCAACCAAAGCAGUCAC
RNAcentral lists this small RNA (741 nucleotides) under Pan troglodytes (chimpanzee). RNAcentral describes it as "retained intron". Lineage: Eukaryota; Metazoa; Chordata; Mammalia; Primates; Hominidae. The record is from RNAcentral.